GGUCCUGUAGCCCAACUGGUAGAGGCGGCGGCUUCAAACCCCGUAGGUUGAAGGUUCGAAUCCUUCCAGGACUACCA
RNAcentral lists this transfer RNA (77 nucleotides) under marine sediment metagenome. RNAcentral describes it as "tRNA-Leu". It matches the Rfam family "tRNA". Rfam says of the family: Transfer RNA (tRNA) molecules are approximately 80 nucleotides in length. Their secondary structure includes four short double-helical elements and three loops (D, anti-codon, and T loops). Further hydrogen bonds mediate the characteristic L-shaped molecular structure. tRNAs have two regions of fundamental functional importance: the anti-codon, which is responsible for specific mRNA codon recognition, and the 3' end, to which the tRNAs corresponding amino acid is attached (by aminoacyl-tRNA synthetases). tRNAs cope with the degeneracy of the genetic code in two manners: having more than one tRNA (with a specific anti-codon) for a particular amino acid; and 'wobble' base-pairing, i.e. permitting non-standard base-pairing at the 3rd anti-codon position. The record is from RNAcentral.